GCCUACGGCCAUACCACCCUGAACACGCCUGAUCUCGGAAGCUAAGCAGGGUCGGGCCUGGUUAGUACUUGGAUGGGAGACCGCCUGGGAAUACCAGGUGUUGUAGGCU
This 109-nucleotide ribosomal RNA is filed under the name Pelobates cultripes (western spadefoot toad). Lineage: Eukaryota; Metazoa; Chordata; Amphibia; Anura; Pelobatidae. The record is from RNAcentral.